AGGCCUACAGAAAGUGAAGAGAGACAGAGGGGGUGAGUAACAUAGGGAGAGGAUAGCAGAUCUCGAGAGAGAGUGACAGCUACGACUACAGAGAGAUACAGAGAGCGACAGAUUCUCACAGACAUACACAAACAGACAAAAGCAGAUAGAUCGAUCAGCACUUUACCCCUUGUACACAGAGCUCCCCAACUCUUAUUAGAUCUAUGUAGUAGGCCCUAUUAGGCCCUAUUACAUUUAAUAUACCGCACGGUAAGUCUUUUGAUGCGUUGCAAGCUCAUUAUUUUAUUUUAGCCCGUUUCUUUGAUCACCUCCACUGUAAGGUCCUUUAUCUAAAUCCUGACGAAUCUACACCAAAAUCUGGAAUAUCCAUCCACGUGAAUGUGAAGAAUGGCGGCGACAGCGCUGUGCAGAAUACGCUUUGAAGAAUAUUUCGAGUAACAUACAUUUUGCUCAAGUGCUUGACAUUGGAGUGGAUGUCUUUUCAUCACUUAAAAAUAAUGGUGAUGACCUCAUCUUUACAACCUAGUCUGGUUGAGAAGCGAUGAGUCAGCCUUUAUGGCAGACAUAGUAUGUUUGUAUUUGUCUUGGUUUGUUUGGAGUUCCUCUCACUGAGAAUUCAUCCAGUACAGGGGUCAGUCUUUUUUUUUUCAAUCUUUCAUGAGGUUGAUAUUUUUUAUAGUUUAUGCGACAAUUUGUUGCAUUUAUUCAGUUACAGCAAAUUUUUAAAAAAGACUAACCGUAUUUCUCAUGGGGCUGACCUCUUGGCUCUCCGGCCAUAACUUGGCUGCUCACAAACUCCGGAAGUUGUGUCAUUUUGUGCAGAUUUGGUGAUGAAAAUUUUUGAACAGGCAAAAUUGACUUCAGGACUUCCACUA
This is a long non-coding RNA of Aplysia californica (California sea hare), 875 nucleotides long. RefSeq lists it as uncharacterized. The record is from RefSeq and is a predicted model, not a curated record. The transcript has 3 exons. NCBI's taxonomy places the organism in Eukaryota, Metazoa, Mollusca, Gastropoda, Aplysiida, Aplysiidae.